Molecule: ribosomal RNA, 389 nt
Filed under: uncultured bacterium
Lineage: Bacteria
Description: bacterial SSU rRNA
Rfam family: Bacterial small subunit ribosomal RNA
Source: RNAcentral
GACGAACGCUGGCGGCGUGAUUAACACAUGCAAGUCGAGCGGUAAGGCCCUUUCGGGGGUACACGAGCGGCGAACGGGUGAGUAACACGUGGGUGACCUGCCCUCAGCUCUGGGAUAAGCCUGGGAAACCGGGUCUAAUACUGGAUAUGACUCCAUGACGCAUGUUGUGGGGCGGAAAGCCUUGUGCGGCUGAGGAUGGGCCCGCGGCCUAUCAGCUUGUUGGUGGGGUGAGGCCUACCAAGGCGACGACGGGUAGCCGGCCUGAGAGGGCGACCGGCCACACUGGGACUGAGACACGGCCCAGACUCCUACGGGAGGCAGCAGUGGGGAAUCUUGCGCAAUGGGCGAAAGCCUGACGCAGCGACGCCGCGUGAGGGAUGACGGCCUGG